GACGAACGCUGGCGGCGUGCUUAACACAUGCAAGUCGAACGGAAAGGCCCUGCUUUUGUGGGGUGCUCGUGUGGCGAACGGGUGAGUAACACGCGAGUAACCUGCCCCUGACUUUGGGAUAACUUCAGGAAACUGGGGCUAAUAUCGGAUAGGAGCUCCUGCUGCAUGGUGGGGGUUGGAAAGUUUCGGCGGUUGGGGAUGGACUCGCGGCUUAUCAGCUUGUUUGUGAGGUAGUGGCUUACCAAGGCUUUGACGGAUAGCCGGCCUGAGAGGGGGGACGGCCACAAUAGGACUGAGGGACGGCGCAGACUGGAACGGGAGGCAACAGGGGGGAAUAUGGCGCAGUAGGGGGGAGCCAGAUGCGGCAGCGCCGCGUGCGGAAUAACGGCCUUCGAGUGAUGAACCAAUUUCGCCUGUGACGAAGCGUGAGUGACGGUAAUGAGUAAGAAAGCACCGGCUAACUACGUG
RNAcentral lists this ribosomal RNA (468 nucleotides) under uncultured bacterium. RNAcentral describes it as "partial 16S ribosomal RNA". It matches the Rfam family "Bacterial small subunit ribosomal RNA", at positions 28 to 507 of the family's 1533-position model. The record is from RNAcentral.